AACCUUUGACAUGUCCCGUAUGAGCACCAGAGAUGGAGCUCUUCAGUUCGGCUGGCGGGAACACAGGUGCUGCAUGGCUGUCGUCAGCUCGUGUCGUGAGAUGUUGGGUUAAGUCCCGCAACGAGCGCAACCCUCGCCCUUAGUUGCCAUCAUUUAGUUGGGCACUCUAGGGGGACUGCCGGUGAUAAGCCGCGAGGAAGGUGGGGAUGACGUAGCUAAGCCUUC
This 225-nucleotide unclassified non-coding RNA is filed under the name uncultured Alphaproteobacteria bacterium. RNAcentral describes it as "contains 16S-23S intergenic spacer region". It matches the Rfam family "Bacterial small subunit ribosomal RNA", at positions 980 to 1194 of the family's 1533-position model. Lineage: Bacteria; Pseudomonadati; Pseudomonadota; Alphaproteobacteria. The record is from RNAcentral.